Non-coding RNA from Biscogniauxia marginata, 102 nucleotides. The record is from the annotation of a GenBank genome assembly. Lineage: Eukaryota; Fungi; Ascomycota; Sordariomycetes; Xylariales; Xylariaceae.
GGUGGGAUGACCGAGUUGGUUAUGGUGUAUGGUUAAGGUUGAGCUUAACAUCUUCAAUUCCAUAUGGAGAAAUCCGCGUGGGUUCGAAUCCCACUCCCAUCA